This 376-nucleotide ribosomal RNA is filed under the name uncultured bacterium. RNAcentral's name for it is "bacterial SSU rRNA". It matches the Rfam family "Bacterial small subunit ribosomal RNA", at positions 28 to 404 of the family's 1533-position model. The record is from RNAcentral.
GACGAACGCUGGCGGCGUGCUUAACACAUGCAAGUCGAGCGGUAAGGCCCUUUCGGGGGUACACGAGCGGCGAACGGGUGAGUAACACGUGGGUGACCUGCCCUUAGCUCUGGGAUAAGCCUGGGAAACUGGGUCUAAUACCGGAUAUGACUCCAUGACGCAUGUUGUGGGGUGGAAAGCCUUGUGCGGCUAGGGAUGGGCCCGCGGCCUAUCAGCUUGUUGGUGGGGUGAUGGCCUACCAAGGCGACGACGGGUAGCCGCCUGAGAGGGCGACCGGCCACACUGGGACUGAGACACGGCCCAGACUCCUACGGGAGCAGCGAGGUGGGGAAUCUUGCGCAAGUGGGCGAAAGCCUGACGCAGCGACGCCGCGUGA